Molecule: ribosomal RNA, 291 nt
Filed under: uncultured bacterium
Lineage: Bacteria
Description: partial 16S ribosomal RNA
Rfam family: Bacterial small subunit ribosomal RNA
Source: RNAcentral
UGACCCCUACGGGGGGCAGCAGUGAGGAAUAUUGGUCAAUGGUCGGGAGACUGAACCAGCCAAGCCGCGUGAGGGAGGAAGGUACAGAGUAUCGUAAACCUCUUUUAUCAGGGAACAAAGGCGGGGACGUGUCCCCGGAUGAGUGUACCUGAAGAAAAAGCAUCAGCUAACUCCGUGCCAGCAGCCGCGGUAAUACGGAGGAUGCGAGCGUUAUCCGGAUUUAUUGGGUUUAAAGGGUGCGCAGGCGGUCUGUUAAGUCAGCGAUCAAAGCCCGGGGCUCAACCCCGGCCC